AGCGAACGCUGGCGGCAGGCUUAACACAUGCAAGUCGAGCGCCCCGCAAGGGGAGCGGCAGACGGGAGAGUAACACGUGGGAACAUACCUUUUGGUUCGGAACAACUGAGGGAAACUUCAGCUAAUACCGGAUAAGCCCUUACGGGGAAAGAUUUAUCGCCGAACGAUUGGCCCGCGUCUGAUUAGCUAGUUGGUGAGGUAACGGCUCACCAAGGCGACGAUCAGUAGCUGGUCUGAGAGGAUGAUCAGCCUCGCUGGGACUGAGACACGGCCUAGACUCCUACGGGAGGCAGCAGUGGGGAAUAUUGGACAAUGGGGGCAACCCUGAUCCAGCCAUGCCGGGGGAGUGAUGAAGGCCGUAGGGUUGUAAAGCUCUUUUGCCCGGGAAGAUAAUGACGGUACCGGGAGAAUAAGCCCCGGCUAACUUCGUG
Molecule: ribosomal RNA, 431 nt
Filed under: uncultured bacterium
Lineage: Bacteria
Description: partial 16S ribosomal RNA
Rfam family: Bacterial small subunit ribosomal RNA
Source: RNAcentral